UAGGGAAUCUUCGGCAAUGGACGAAAGUCUGACCGAGCAACGCCGCGUGAGUGAAGAAGGUUUUCGGAUCGUAAAACUCUGUUGGUAGAGAAGAACGUUGGUGAGAGUGGAAAGCUCAUCAAGUGACGGUAACUACCCAGAAAGGGACGGCUAACUACGUGCCAGCAGCCGCGGUAAUACGUAGGUCCCGAGCGUUGUCCGGAUUUAUUGGGCGUAAAGCGAGCGCAGGUGGUUUAUUAAGUCUGGUGUAAAAGGCAGUGGCUCAACCAUUGUAUGCAUUGGAAACUGGUAGACUUGAGUGCAGGAGAGGAGAGUGGAAUUCCAUGUGUAGCGGUGAAAUGCGUAGAUAUAUGGAGGAACACCGGUGGCGAAAGCGGCUCUCUGGCCUGUAACUGACACUGAGGCUCGAAAGCGUGGGGAGCAAACAGGAUUAGA
RNAcentral lists this ribosomal RNA (435 nucleotides) under uncultured bacterium. RNAcentral's name for it is "partial 16S ribosomal RNA". It matches the Rfam family "Bacterial small subunit ribosomal RNA", at positions 355 to 782 of the family's 1533-position model. The record is from RNAcentral.